CGGCGGACGGGUGAGUAAUGCCUAGGAAUCUGCCUGGUAGUGGGGGACAACGUUUCGAAAGGAACGCUAAUACCGCAUACGUCUACGGGAGAAAGCAGGGGACCUUCGGGCCUUGCGCUAUCAGAUGAGCCUAGGUCGGAUUAGCUAGUUGGUGAGGUAAUGGCUCACCAAGGCGACGAUCCGUAACUGGUCUGAGAGGAUGAUCAGUCACACUGGAACUGAGACACGGUCCAGACUCCUACGGGAGGCAGCAGCU
RNAcentral lists this ribosomal RNA (256 nucleotides) under uncultured Pseudomonas sp. RNAcentral's name for it is "partial 16S ribosomal RNA". It matches the Rfam family "Bacterial small subunit ribosomal RNA", at positions 96 to 355 of the family's 1533-position model. Lineage: Bacteria; Pseudomonadati; Pseudomonadota; Gammaproteobacteria; Pseudomonadales; Pseudomonadaceae. The record is from RNAcentral.